UAUCUCACCCUCUCUGGCUGU
This 21-nucleotide microRNA is filed under the name Monodelphis domestica (gray short-tailed opossum). Its description in RNAcentral is "mdo-miR-7398x-3p". Lineage: Eukaryota; Metazoa; Chordata; Mammalia; Didelphimorphia; Didelphidae. The record is from miRBase by way of RNAcentral.